Molecule: ribosomal RNA, 563 nt
Filed under: uncultured bacterium
Lineage: Bacteria
Description: partial 16S ribosomal RNA
Rfam family: Bacterial small subunit ribosomal RNA
Source: RNAcentral
UGGGGAAUUUUGGACAAUGGGCGAAAGCCUGAUCCAGCAAUGCCGCGUGUGUGAAGAAGGCCUUCGGGUUGUAAAGCACUUUUGUCCGGAAAGAAAUCCUUGGCUCUAAUACAGUCGGGGGAUGACGGUACCGGAAGAAUAAGCACCGGCUAACUACGUGCCAGCAGCCGCGGUAAUACGUAGGGUGCAAGCGUUAAUCGGAAUUACUGGGCGUAAAGCGUGCGCAGGCGGUUUGCUAAGACCGAUGUGAAAUCCCCGGGCUCAACCUGGGAACUGCAUUGGUGACUGGCAGGCUAGAGUAUGGCAGAGGGGGGUAGAAUUCCACGUGUAGCAGUGAAAUGCGUAGAGAUGUGGAGGAAUACCGGUGGCGAAGGCAGCCCCCUGGGCCAAUACUGACGCUCAUGCACGAAAGCGUGGGGAGCAAACAGGAUUAGAUACCCUGGUAGUCCACGCCCUAAACGAUGUCAACUAGUUGUUGGGGAUUCAUUCCUUAGUAACGUAGCUAACGCGUGAAGUUGACCGCCUGGGGAGUACGGUCGCAAGAUUAAAACUCAAAUGAAUUG